AAAUCCAAGUCGGCUGAAUGCGGCUUGUUUUGCAAGAGAGAGAAUCCGGUGAAAAUCCGGAACGGUCCCGCCGCUGUAAGGGAAGACGAAAUCGGUAAAUUUCAAAACCAGUGUGAACGAAAGUCCAUGCGAAGGAACCGAAAGUAGGACGAACCCCGAGUCAGAAGAACUGCAAAAACAACAGCUCCGCU
Molecule: non-coding RNA, 191 nt
Organism: Fibrobacter sp.
Lineage: Bacteria; Pseudomonadati; Fibrobacterota; Fibrobacteria; Fibrobacterales; Fibrobacteraceae
Source: Rfam